Raphanus sativus (radish) is the source of this 2086-nucleotide long non-coding RNA. RefSeq lists it as uncharacterized. The record is from RefSeq and is a predicted model, not a curated record. NCBI's taxonomy places the organism in Eukaryota, Viridiplantae, Streptophyta, Magnoliopsida, Brassicales, Brassicaceae. The transcript has 6 exons.
CAACCUUUCCACUCCUCAUCUCUACAUCGUCGAGAAACCCUUUUCUCUUCUCUCCGGAACCGUUUCGGCGAUAGACCUCACCACUAAAGCUCUAAUCAAACCUUGAUUUAAUGGCUUCCCUUCGGCUUCUAUAUUUUCCUAUUUAUAUAUCUCUUUUCAUCGCUUUAUGUUUCCAUCAAAUUUAAUAGAAAUCUCUCUGAAACUCAUUCCGAUGGAACUCACCGGCAAGUCGUCAGUUUCCAGCGACAGCAAAACCAGCGAGAAGACCGUCGCCUCCUCUGCGACUGAGAAACCCACUCCGAAACUCACCCGAUGGAACUCACCAGCGACUCUUCAGUCUCCAUCGACAACAGAACCAGCGAGAAGACCGUCGCCUACUCAGCGAAGCAAAUGGCUCCGAAGAAGAAACCUCAGAAGCAAAGCAACAAAGCUUCUUUUUCUUCAUCGUCGUCGUCAAAACCGGAACUUUCUUCAGGUCCCAAGCUUCAGAUUUCGGCGGAGAACGAGGACCGUCUGCGACGGCUCUUGCUCAACUCCGGCCGCGCCGCUCCUCCGGCUCCGGCACCUGUCCACAGCGCGCUUUCCAAAAAUCAGAAGGCGAAGAAACUCAAUACCGUCUACGAGAAGCUCUCUUGCGAAGGAUUUGUAGAUGAUCAGAUUGAGCUCGCUCUCUCUUCUCUCAGGGUAACUCUCUCUCACCUCCUCGCAUUUAUUGGAAUCUUGGAAUUUUAGCUUAACCUAAUUGAGAGUACCUAUGGAGCAACGUUUGAGACUGCACUCGAUUGGCUCUGCUUGAACUUACCGAGUCAUGAGUUGCCUGUGAAGUUUUCUACAGGAACUUCUCGGUUUCCUACCGGAGGUGGUUCUGUAGGUGUGAUAUUGAACUCAAGGGAGGAUUGGAAUGAGUCUUCUGACUCUUCUUCAGUCGAGCUCAAGCAGGAGGAGCCUGAAGUUUUGGUUCAGGUGAAGGGGAAGCAAGAUGAAGAUGCUCUUCGUGCUGACCAAUCAUCUCAAGCUGAUUGGAUCCGUCAGUAUAUGAGAAGACAGGAGGAGGAGGAACUGGAAUCUUGGGAAGAUGAGGUAGAUGGUGUUGGCUCCAUUUGACUUCACAGAAUCCUUAUCGACGAAGAGGGAACUGCUAUUCAAGGUUUUGUUCCAGCCGGUCGUGUAGGAACAUUUGAUCUGACAGCUGGUUCUGUCUAUAACCUGACUACCUGAGGAAUUUUUUUCGGAUCCAAAAACAAAGUUCAGUUUGCGGUUGCUGAUCAUGUUGCCAUCGUCUCAUUUAGUUGGAAUUCUGAUUUAUCGGUUCUUGAAAAUCCUCUGGUUCUAUUUCCAAAAGAUAGGUUGAGGUUCCACAGCUACGAGCAGUUCAAAGGGCCUACCUCUCUAAUCUGCAACAAUAAGAAGUGUGAGAAAAGCGAAGUCACCGGCAUUGCUCAAUAAGUGUUGGUACAUCACGAAGAUUUCUGUUUAUGAUAAGAGUGAGCAAGCAGUUUUUGUCAUUCUCGGUGAUGCUGGAAAGGAUUUGACUGGGAAAUAUGUAGCCGAAUUAUUUGCUAACUACUUUGAGUGUUAGUCUAAUGAGGGAGUAGGAGCUGACCAUUGCGUACCGGUGCCGCGAGCAUUGCUUGAUACAAUAGGGCAGACACGCAGAGUCAUUGUGAAAGUGUCGGAGUGUCGGACCACAAUUUGCAAGGUAAGACUAAGACCAUAACUGUGACCAAGAUACUCCCACCAGAAGAUUCACUUCCAGCAAGGUCCGAUGGUAUUCCGAAUACUGGAGGUGAGGAAACUGCUCCUUCCAGCGUCCUUGGAGAUUCUGCUGGUGAUAGGUCUAGAAAAGCUGCUGAGAGUCUUGAGUCGGACGAAGCCAAGCGGUCCAAGAGUGACUAAUAAGCUUCAACUUAUGUUCAUACGCAGUGAUUAAUUUUGCUGCAGUUCAAGUACUGUUUUUGUGUUCCCUAAUGACUUUUGUCUUCUUUCCAUUUCAAUUUCAGACUUUUGUCAUCUUUUGUUUAAGUUCUUUGAGAACAAUUUUCAUUAUAUGGUUUUUAUUUAUCUUUAAAGCAAUUUUCGUAUUCUA